RNAcentral lists this ribosomal RNA (433 nucleotides) under uncultured bacterium. RNAcentral's name for it is "partial 16S ribosomal RNA". It matches the Rfam family "Bacterial small subunit ribosomal RNA", at positions 29 to 507 of the family's 1533-position model. The record is from RNAcentral.
AACGAACGCUGGCGGCAUGCCUAACACAUGCAAGUCGAACGAGACCUUCGGGUAUAGUGGCGCACGGGUGCGUAACGCGUGGGAACCUGCCCUUAGGUUCGGAAUAACUCCCCGAAAGGGGUGCUAAUACCGGAUAAUGUCUUCGGACCAAAGAUUUAUCGCCUUUGGAUGGGCCCGCGUUGGAUUAGCUAGUUGGUAGGGUAAAAGCCUACCAAGGCGACGAUCCAUAGCUGGUCUGAGAGGAUGAUCAGCCACACUGGGACUGAGACACGGCCCAGACUCCUACGGGAGGCAGAAGUGGGGAAUAUUGGACAAUGGGCGAAAGCCUGAUCCAGCAAUGCCGCGUGAGUGAUGAAGGCCUUAGGGUUGUAAAGCUCUUUUACCCGGGAUGAUAAUGACAGUACCGGGAGAAUAAGCUCCGGCUAACUCCGUG